CAGGAGGAACACAGGAGUCAGAGGAGUCAGCCCCUAGGACAGUGUUUAUCACUUCUAGUUUUUAAACUUUCCUUUCCAAAGGAAGAUAUUAGAGUCCAGGACCAAGAUUCCACUGUUACAGCUGCAGGGGACUUCCAAACAAGGAAACUGAAGUUCUGAGCAGCAGUUUCACAGCCUGUGAUCGUCCCCACCCCUGCACUUAGGAAACAGGCAGCAAGUUCCAUUUUCCAGUGUGAGGCCCUCUCAGCCCAACUGCCAGGGAAGAGACUGAGGCGGCUACCCAUGGCGGAUGCUUCUUCAUUGCUGUGAAUUCAGAGAAUAUUCAAGUGCAGCUGUCAUUUCGACAUCAUUCACUGAUAUUUCCAUAUGGUUGGACACAAGGCUCGUAGUGGGUUUGAGAGUUUAUUAUUUUUAAUGAAUCUCUUACUGUUUUUCAUAGCAACAGUAUUAAUUCAGCUUUUAAACAAGAACAUGCUUGGAUUUCUUUUUAUCCACAUCCUCUCAUAAUAAACCUUCUGACAGGUGUAGGGAAAUGUUUCAUUGUGGUUUUAAUUUGCAUUUCCUUGAUCCCAGGGAAUGUUAAGUAUUUUCAUGUGGUCAGUCACGUGGUUUUCAUAUGUCUGGUCUUUGUAUAUCUUCUUUAAAAACUGUCCAUUUAACUUGUUUUGAAGUCCUGUAAUACUCCCACGAUCUGGUUUUGACUGAUUAGAAUCUGUUCCAUUCUGUAUGAUAGUAUCAAGUUUGAGGGUAUAGGCAACUACUUUGAAGGCAAUAAGAUUCACUAAGACGCCCAUGCUGGUUUGACUAUUGUCUCCUUUGGACGUCCUGUAAUGUUUACAAUGCCUAAGUUUUAUUGGUAUUGUUCUCUACUGUUUUGUUCAACUUUAUAAUAUCUAAUGAGAUAGACAAUUCUUUUUAAGGGAACAAGAGACAUCGUUGAUAACCAUUGUUGAUAACCUUGUACUCUGUUUUACAUCAUGUGCUAUGUCUAUCCUUGGUUUUGACUGACAGCUUUGUUUUGCCAUAUUUGACUUUAUUCUCUCCCCCCAAAAAGUAAUAAGAACUAAGGAGUAAUAAAACCCAAAAUGUGUAAAUUUUGUUGUAAAAAAGAGAGGGAAAAAAAGAGCUCUAAAGGAUACAACAGCAAGUGUGUUUAGGGGUGUUAAAUAGCUGACCAUAUUAAUGUUUUUGGUUGGAUCAUUGAACACAACUGUUUGCAGUCUCACUGUUUGAAUGUCCACUUUGUAUUCUUUGAUACUGUGAUUUGAGCAACUAUUUCUAAGAUGAUAAUAUGUAAUCUAUUAACUGGUGAUUUCUUACUGUCUUUUUUUUUUUUUUUUUUUUUUUUUUUUGUAGUUCUGUAUUACUUGUACCCUUACACUGCUUUGUUUUGUUCUGUGUUUUUCUCUUUUUCCUUUUAAAUAAAAUUUUAAAAAAAAAUGUCCAUUUGAGACAUUUGUCCA
Long non-coding RNA from Cavia porcellus (domestic guinea pig), 1463 nucleotides. RefSeq lists it as uncharacterized. The record is from RefSeq and is a predicted model, not a curated record. NCBI's taxonomy places the organism in Eukaryota, Metazoa, Chordata, Mammalia, Rodentia, Caviidae. The transcript has 2 exons.